Molecule: microRNA, 20 nt
Filed under: Arabidopsis thaliana (thale cress)
Lineage: Eukaryota; Viridiplantae; Streptophyta; Magnoliopsida; Brassicales; Brassicaceae
Description: ath-miR5662
Source: miRBase by way of RNAcentral
AGAGGUGACCAUUGGAGAUG